UACGGAAUGUGCAAACGUUAUUCGGAAUCACUGGGCUUAAAGAGUCCGUAGGCGGCAUGUUAGGUGAGGUGUGAAAUCCCCCGGCUCAACCGAGGAACUGCGCUCCAUACUGCAUGGCUUGAGGGAGACAGGGGUAAGCGGAACUGAUGGUGGAGCGGUGAAAUGCGUUGAUAUCAUCAGGAACACCGGUGGCGAAAGCGGCUUACUGGGUCUCUUCUGACGCUGAGGUACGAAAGCUAGGGUAGCGAACGGG
This 253-nucleotide ribosomal RNA is filed under the name uncultured bacterium. RNAcentral describes it as "partial 16S ribosomal RNA". It matches the Rfam family "Bacterial small subunit ribosomal RNA", at positions 524 to 776 of the family's 1533-position model. The record is from RNAcentral.